This 314-nucleotide ribosomal RNA is filed under the name uncultured eukaryote. Its description in RNAcentral is "partial 18S ribosomal RNA". It matches the Rfam family "Eukaryotic small subunit ribosomal RNA", at positions 1470 to 1796 of the family's 1831-position model. The record is from RNAcentral.
CCCUUAGAUGUUCUGGGCUGCACGCGCGCUACACUGACACUAUCAACGAGUGCUCCUGGUUUGAAAGGAUCGGGUAAUCUUUUGAAAUGGUGUCGUGAUGGGGAUAGAUCAUUGCAAUUAUUGAUCUUGAACGAGGAAUUCCUAGUAAAUGUGAGUCAUCGGCUCACGUUGAUUACGUCCCUGCCCUUUGUACACACCGCCCGUCGCUCCUACCGAUUGAGUGAACCGAUGAGUAGUCCGGAUUGCGAUCGACCUCGGUUAAUCGCGAGAAGUUCCGCAAAUCACUUCACUUAGAGGAAGGAGAAGUCGUAACA